RNAcentral lists this ribosomal RNA (116 nucleotides) under Pteropus alecto (black flying fox). Lineage: Eukaryota; Metazoa; Chordata; Mammalia; Chiroptera; Pteropodidae. The record is from RNAcentral.
GCCUAUGGCCAUGCCACCCUGAACAAGCCUGAUGUCUGAUUUCGGAAGCUAAGCAGGGUCGGGCCUGGUUAACACUUGGAUGGGAGACCACCUAGGAAGACCAGGUGCUAUAGGCA